AUGUAGCAUCUAUNAACCCCGUCGCGAACUGCGAUACUUCCUGNGAAUUNCAGAAUUCAGUGAAUCAUCGCAUCUUUGACCGCAUAUUGCG
RNAcentral lists this ribosomal RNA (91 nucleotides) under uncultured Mortierella. Its description in RNAcentral is "partial 5.8S ribosomal RNA". The record is from RNAcentral. Lineage: Eukaryota; Fungi; Mortierellomycota; Mortierellomycetes; Mortierellales; Mortierellaceae.